Long non-coding RNA from Nilaparvata lugens (brown planthopper), 450 nucleotides. RefSeq lists it as uncharacterized. NCBI's taxonomy places the organism in Eukaryota, Metazoa, Arthropoda, Insecta, Hemiptera, Delphacidae. The record is from RefSeq and is a predicted model, not a curated record. The transcript has 2 exons.
CGAAAAUUAAUUGAGUAUUCAUUCUAGCUGGCCUAAGUUAUGGCAAUUUAUUUAUAUUUGUUGAAAACCUCAUUCAUCACAUAUGUAUCCAUAGUAAUUUCUACAAUUUCCGCUGUACAGCGGUCAUAGACUCGUAGACUCGUAGACUCGUAGUAUCACAGGAUGUCUUAGUUAUGGCCAUGGAAGCUGAAUCCUUGCUGACCAACUCAUCACAAGGAAACCAAUAUUUCCAGAAAAGAUCUAAAUUCGCCGUAAAAAGGAUACUUCAAGAACUUCUUGUGCAGUGAAAAAUUAAUAAGUGAAAAAUUUGAAUAAAGUGUACGGAGGCCUCCUCACUUCAAUACACCAGGUAUUUACGAAACAACCAAUAUUAAUUUAUGGAAAAUUCACAGGCAACUACUUCGCAAAAAUAAAUGGGACAGGAUAAUAAAUAAAUUUGUAAUUACUUGA